CCCAAUGUGGCACCCUCCAGAUGUUUUGAGAUUACAGCUCCCAUGUCAAUUUAGCCAAUAUGAAUCAAGUUGCAAGGUUACAACCAGAUCUCACCAUCCAGGUCUUUGCUGCUGCACGUCAAAGAUUCUGGGGAAAGGCAAACAAAUUGAACUGCUUUGAAGGCAGCCACAGAACACACUACAAGGCCUUUGCAAGAAAUGGCAGGCAUGAAAUACAGAGACCUGAUGGGAACCAGAGGAAGGAGCAUUAACAUACCUGGAAGAAGUAAAUGAAAUGCUUGGCAGAGUUCCCAAGACAGGCAGGAGGAAUCUGACCAGGGAAGCUCCUUAAGGGCUUCAUCUUAACACUGUCAACAGCUGACUGGCAACAAAUCAAAGUUGCUGUAUUUGUCAAAGGUUUUGCUAUGUUUUCUUCUAACAAAGAGGCGGAGAGGGAAAGGGAGAAAUAAUUUGAAUGCUCGAGCCAAGCAAUGCCAACUGGAAAAGGGCAAAGAGCCACUGGAGAAACAGGACAGACUAUUCUGAGUGCUGAAUAAU
Molecule: long non-coding RNA, 537 nt
Organism: Pantherophis guttatus
Lineage: Eukaryota; Metazoa; Chordata; Lepidosauria; Squamata; Colubridae
Source: RefSeq, a predicted model, not a curated record